Molecule: ribosomal RNA, 320 nt
Filed under: Pseudocyphellaria allanii
Lineage: Eukaryota; Fungi; Ascomycota; Lecanoromycetes; Peltigerales; Lobariaceae
Description: eukaryotic LSU rRNA
Rfam family: Eukaryotic large subunit ribosomal RNA
Source: RNAcentral
UUGACCUCGGAUCAGGUAGGGAUACCCGCUGAACUUAAGCAUAUCAAUAAGCGGAGGAAAAGAAACCAACAGGGAUUGCCUCAGUAACGGCGAGUGAAGCGGCAACAGCUCAAAUUUGAAAUCUGACCCCUCCGGGGCCCGAGUUGUAAUUUGUAGAGGGUGUUUCGGGCGCGGCGCCGGUCUAAGUUCCUUGGAACAGGACGUCAUAGAGGGUGAGAAUCCCGUAUGUGACCGGCGAUCAAGCCCAUGUGAAGCCCCUUCGACGAGUCGAGUUGUUUGGGAAUGCAGCUCAAAAUGGGUGGUAAAUUUCAUCUAAAGCU